This 253-nucleotide ribosomal RNA is filed under the name uncultured bacterium. RNAcentral's name for it is "partial 16S ribosomal RNA". It matches the Rfam family "Bacterial small subunit ribosomal RNA", at positions 524 to 776 of the family's 1533-position model. The record is from RNAcentral.
UACGAAGGGUGCAAACGUUUCUCGGAAUCAUUGGGCGUAAAGCGCACGUAGGCGGCCCUGCAAGUCGGAUGUGAAAUCCCUCGGCUCAACCGAGGACGUGCAUCCGAAACUGCGGGGCUCGAGUAUGGAAGAGGGUCGCAGAAUUCCCGGUGUAGAGGUGAAAUUCGUAGAGAUUGGGAAGAACACCCGUGGCGAAGGCGGCCAACUGGACCGACAUUGACGCUGAGGCGCGAAAGCGUGGGGAGCAAACAGG